RNAcentral lists this ribosomal RNA (649 nucleotides) under uncultured bacterium. RNAcentral's name for it is "bacterial SSU rRNA". It matches the Rfam family "Bacterial small subunit ribosomal RNA", at positions 43 to 740 of the family's 1533-position model. The record is from RNAcentral.
CAGGCCUAACACAUGCAAGUCGAGCGCGCCUUCGGGUGAGCGGCGGACGGGUUAGUAACGCGUGGGAACGUGCCCUUUUCUACGGAAUAGCCUCUGGAAACGGAGAGUAAUACCGUAUACGCCCUUUGGGGGAAAGAUUUAUCGGAGAAGGAUCGGCCCGCGUUAGAUUAGGUAGUUGGUGGGGUAACGGCCUACCAAGCCUACGAUCUAUAGCUGGUUUUAGAGGAUGAUCAGCAACACUGGGACUGAGACACGGCCCAGACUCCUACGGGAGGCAGCAGUGGGGAAUCUUAGACAAUGGGGGCAACCCUGAUCUAGCCAUGCCGCGUGAGUGAUGAAGGCCUUAGGGUCGUAAAGCUCUUUCGCCUGUGAUGAUAAUGACAGUAGCAGGUAAAGAAACCCCGGCUAACUCCGUGCCAGCAGCCGCGGUAAUACGGAGGGGGUUAGCGUUGUUUGGAAUUACUGGGCGUAAAGCGCGCGUAGGCGGAUUAGAAAGUUGGGGGUGAAAUCCCGGGGCUCAACCUCGGAACUGCCUCCAAAACUGCUAGUCUAGAGUUCGAGAGAGGUGAGUGGAAUUCCGAGUGUAGAGGUGAAAUUCGUAGAUAUUCGGAGGAACACCAGUGGCGAAGGCGGCUCACUGGCUCGAUAC